Molecule: ribosomal RNA, 305 nt
Filed under: uncultured bacterium
Lineage: Bacteria
Description: bacterial SSU rRNA
Rfam family: Bacterial small subunit ribosomal RNA
Source: RNAcentral
AUCUACCUACGGGACGCAGCAGUGAGGAAUAUUGGUCAAUGGGCGAGAGCCUGGACCAGCCACGUCGCGUGAGGGAGGACGGCCCUACGGGUUGUAAACCUCUUUUGCCGGGGGACAAACGGCGGCACGCGUGCCGUCCUGAGGGUACCCGGAGAAAAAGCAUCGGCUAACUCCGUGCCAGCAGCCGCGGUAAUACGGAGGAUGCGAGCGUUAUCCGGAUUUAUUGGGUUUAAAGGGUGCGUAGGCGGGAUGCCAAGUCAGCGGUCAAAUACGGGGGCUCAACCUGCGUCCGCCGUUGAAACUGG